UGGGGAAUAUUGGACAAUGGGCGAAAGCCUGAUCCAGCCAUGCCGCGUGUGUGAAGAAGGUCUUCGGAUUGUAAAGCACUUUAAGUUGGGAGGAAGGGCAGUAAGCGAAUACCUUGCUGUUUUGACGUUACCGACAGAAUAAGCACCGGCUAACUCUGUGCCAGCAGCCGCGGUAAUACAGAGGGUGCAAGCGUUAAUCGGAAUUACUGGGCGUAAAGCGUGCGUAGGUGGGUCGUUAAGUUGAAUGUGAAAGCCCCGGGCUCAACCUGUGAACUGCAUCCAAAACUGUCGAGCUAGAGUAGGGCAGAGGGUCGUGGAAUUUCCUGUGUAGCGGUGAAAUGCGUAGAUAUAGGAAGGAACACCAGUGGCGAAGGCGACCACCUGGGCUCAUACUGACACUGUGGUGCGAAAGCGUGGGGAGCAAACAGGA
Molecule: ribosomal RNA, 430 nt
Filed under: Pseudomonadota bacterium
Lineage: Bacteria; Pseudomonadati; Pseudomonadota
Description: Proteobacteria bacterium partial 16S ribosomal RNA
Rfam family: Bacterial small subunit ribosomal RNA
Source: RNAcentral